This 544-nucleotide long non-coding RNA is filed under the name Nicotiana benthamiana. RNAcentral's name for it is "long non-coding RNA (NBEN_LNC034664)". Lineage: Eukaryota; Viridiplantae; Streptophyta; Magnoliopsida; Solanales; Solanaceae. The record is from RNAcentral.
ACUCGGGAAGCUCAAUUCUCUGAAAUAAACCACCGGGCCUCUAAUGCUUGUAUGUAACCUGCUAACAGUUCAAACAACGGGCCACAUAUGCGACAAUGUCUUUCUUCAUUCUAUGCCACCAAUAGUGCUGCCUCAAAUCCUGAUACACCUUUGCCGAUGCCCGGAUAAAUGGAAUACCGAGAACUAUGGGCCUCCGCUAAGAUCAACUCCCGAAUACUAUCAUUAUUUGGCACAGAAACUCGCCCCUGCAAUCUCAAUACACCAUCAUCUCCCAAGGUCAUUUUCUUGGCACCACCCGCUGCACCGUGUCUCUAUGGACACAGAAAUGGGGAUCAUCAAACUGUCGCUCACAGAUAUGCUCCAUCAACGACGAACGAGCAACCGUGCAAGCUAACACUCUACUAGGCUCAGAAAUAUCCAACAUUACAAAUCGAUUGGCCAAGGCUUGAACAUCCAAAGUAAGCGAUAUCUGGCUGACCAUAAUAUAGGCAAGACUACCCAUACUGGCGGACUUCCUACUCAAUGCAUCGGCCACCACAUUGGC